RNAcentral lists this ribosomal RNA (505 nucleotides) under uncultured bacterium. Its description in RNAcentral is "bacterial SSU rRNA". It matches the Rfam family "Bacterial small subunit ribosomal RNA", at positions 19 to 518 of the family's 1533-position model. The record is from RNAcentral.
CUGGCUCAGGAUGAACGCUAGCGGCAGGCUUAACACAUGCAAGUCGAGGGGCAACGCGAGUAGCAAUACUUGGCGGCGACCGGCGCAAGGGUGCGUAACGCGUGAGCAACAUGCCCGUAUCAGGGGGAUAAUCCAGGGAAACUUGGUCUAAUACCCCAUAGUAAUUUUGUAAGGCAUCUUAUAAGAUUUAAAGCUUUGGUGGAUACGGAUUGGCUCGCGUGACAUUAGCUGGAUGGUAAGGUAACGGCUUACCAUGGCUAUGAUGUCUAGGGGUUCUGAGAGGAAGGUCCCCCACACUGGAACUGAGACACGGUCCAGACUCCUACGGGAGGCAGCAGUGAGGAAUAUUGGACAAUGGAUGGAAAUCUGAUCCAGCCAUGCCGCGUGAAAGGAAGAAGGUCCUAUGGAUUGUAAACUUCUUUUGUAUGGGAGCAAUAAGGCCUACGAGUAGGUUGAUGAGAGUACCAUACGAAUAAGCACCGGCUAACUCCGUGCCAGCCGCGGC